UUUGAUCCUGGCUCAGAUUGAACGCUGGCGGCAUGCCUUACACAUGCAAGUCGAACGGUAACAGGUCUUCGGAUGCUGACGAGUGGCGAACGGGUGAGUAAUACAUCGGAACGUGCCCGAUCGUGGGGGAUAACGGAGCGAAAGCUUUGCUAAUACCGCAUACGAUCUACGGAUGAAAGCAGGGGACCGCAAGGCCUUGCGCGAAUGGAGCGGCCGAUGGCAGAUUAGGUAGUUGGUGGGAUAAAAGCUUACCAAGCCGACGAUCUGUAGCUGGUCUGAGAGGACGACCAGCCACACUGGGACUGAGACACGGCCCAGACUCCUACGGGAGGCAGCAGUGGGGAAUUUUGGACAAUGGGCGAAAGCCUGAUCCAGCCAUGCCGCGUGCAGGAUGAAGGCCUUCGGGUUGUAAACUGCUUUUGUACGGAACGAAAAGACUCUGGUUAAUACCUGGGGUCCAUGACGGUACCGUAAGAAUAAGCACCGGCUAACUACGUGCCAGCAGCCGCGGUAAUACGUAGGGUGCAAGCGUUAAUCGGAAUUACUGGGCGUAAAGCGUGCGCAGGCGGUUAUAUAAGACAGAUGUGAAUC
This 591-nucleotide ribosomal RNA is filed under the name uncultured bacterium. RNAcentral's name for it is "bacterial SSU rRNA". It matches the Rfam family "Bacterial small subunit ribosomal RNA", at positions 12 to 600 of the family's 1533-position model. The record is from RNAcentral.